RNAcentral lists this ribosomal RNA (229 nucleotides) under uncultured bacterium. Its description in RNAcentral is "partial 16S ribosomal RNA". It matches the Rfam family "Bacterial small subunit ribosomal RNA", at positions 524 to 753 of the family's 1533-position model. The record is from RNAcentral.
UACGUAGGCAGCGAGCGUUGUUCGGAAUUACUGGGCGUAAAGAGUGUGUAGGCGGUGCUCUAAGUUCGGUGUGAAAUCUCCCGCUUAACUGGGAGGGUGCGCCGGAAACUGGAGUGCUCGAGCGUGGGAGAGGAAAGCGGAAUUCCUGGUGUAGCGGUGAAAUGCGUAGAUAUCAGGAGGAACACCUGCGGUGUAGACGGCUUUCUGGACCAUUGCUGACGCUGAGACA